Long non-coding RNA from Empidonax traillii (willow flycatcher), 165 nucleotides. RefSeq lists it as uncharacterized. The transcript has 3 exons. The record is from RefSeq and is a predicted model, not a curated record. NCBI's taxonomy places the organism in Eukaryota, Metazoa, Chordata, Aves, Passeriformes, Tyrannidae.
AGAGGAAAUGGAGCUGGCAGGGUGCCCAGAUGGCCAAGAGGGCCAGUGACAUCCUGGCUUUUAUCAGAAGUAGUGUGGCCAGCAGGACCAGGGCAGUGAUUGUCCCCCUGUACUCAGCACUGGUGAGGCCGUGCCUCAAGUCCUGUGUUCACUUUUGGGCCACUC